RNAcentral lists this small nuclear RNA (107 nucleotides) under Physeter macrocephalus (sperm whale). The record is from RNAcentral. Lineage: Eukaryota; Metazoa; Chordata; Mammalia; Artiodactyla; Physeteridae.
GUGCUCGCUUUGGCAGCACAUAUACUAAAAUUGGAAUGAUACAGAGAAGAUGACCAUGGCCCCUGAACAAGGAUGACAUGCAAAUUCGUGAAGUGUUCCGUAUUUUU